Long non-coding RNA from Myotis daubentonii (Daubenton's bat), 2407 nucleotides. RefSeq lists it as uncharacterized. Lineage: Eukaryota; Metazoa; Chordata; Mammalia; Chiroptera; Vespertilionidae. The record is from RefSeq and is a predicted model, not a curated record.
CACCCCACACCCAUCCAAUUCUUACUGAAGUAAUUGCUGAACUUAAGAAACAAAAUGUUGGGGGAAAUUUUAGAUGCGAAUAAAUAGCUAACCUGUGGUAUGCAGUGAAAAUUGAAAGAAUAAUGAAACUAUCCAAGCCGACUUACUGAAAAUCAGAGUAUUGCAUGCUUACAAGCAUAAAAUAUAGUAAAAUAAUAGUAAAAUAAUUGGAGGUGUUCUGGGGAAAAAAAGCUCAAGUCUAUAUUCUAAAAUACUACAGUUUUUCUAAUAUAGUAUUUAUACUUUGUGGGAGAGCAUUAAUUUUGCUUUUCACUGAUCUGGAAGUACCUUCAGUUUACAGAAUUUUAAAUUUAAAAAGUAAACUUAUUUUAAAAAUAUAUUUUACAGAGCCUUAAUCUUUAAACUUAGAAAUAUGUUGGCUGAAAUUAGAUUAGUGAAUUCAAACUUUUGGUCAUGAAUGCCCUGUAAGAAAUGCAUUCACAUCAUAACCUGCUAUACAAGUAAAUGUAUACUAUACAAAUAUGCGUACAUACUUAGCUGAAAGAGUUUUGUAAGUAACAUUAUUAUGCUGUGCAUUCUUAUACUACUUUCAUUUCAUUUAAAAUAUUCUCGUUUAAUCAACUGAAUUGAUUUCAUAUUCAGUGGGUCAUCAAUCUGAACCUGUGGUCUGUGAAACACUUUAUAUGGCUGAAACUUCUGAGAAAAUAACCACAUUUAUCAAGGCCCUGCUCUGAUUAGCAUUAUUUUUUGGGGGGUGGGGGAGGACAUAAGACAGUCAAAGGUUUGACCUACUGGAACUUCUACAUAGUGUAGCAAUGUCCGUUCAUUAUCACAAACAUCUGUGGUGCCUACUGUGUGUCUGACACUGCUCUGGUGGGUGCUGUGGGAUGCCCUGGGGACAAAAUGGAAACAUUCUGACCCUCGGCGCUGAGAUGGAAUGGGGUUGGAUGCAGACAAGUGAAUGCUGCGUGAACGUAAUGUGAAACCAAAGCAGAAGGGGUUCCCACUAGAAACAGGGUGGUCAGGGAAGGUCUCCGUGGAAGGUGGCAUUUAAGCAAAGCCUGGAAGGAGGUGAAGGUGUCCGGGAAGAGCAUUUCAAGCAGAGAGAGGAGCCCAUGUCAGGAUCCCAGCUGGCAUAGUGCAGGGACAGCAUGGAGGCCAGUGCCAGUGCCGAGGCCGCCUUUGAGAGAAGUCAAGUAGGGUAUAGUGUGCCAUGUUCUUUCAAGUGUCUCUGACUUCACAGAUGGAGAUUUGGGCACCGUAAGACUAGAUUGAUUGAUUGAUUGAUUUAAUUGAUUUGAUUUUUAGAGAGAGAGAGAGACAGACAGACAUCAAUGUGAGAGUGAAAUAUUGAUUGGUUGCCUCCUGCAUGCACCGCGACCAGGCACCAGACCUGCAGCCUGAGUAUGUGAUCUGACUGGGAAUCAAACCCACAAUCUUUUGGUGUACGGGACAGUGCUCCAACCAACUGAGCCACACUGGCCAGGGCAAGACUAGUAUUAAGUUAAAGUUAAAGCUAACUUUAUAGGAGUUUUUUGAGAAAAAUACUUUCUGUGUUUUUGUAUGUUUUGUGUUGUUGUUUUCUUUUAGGGAGAGAGAGGAAGGAAGAGGGAGAGUGAGAGAAACAUAAGUGAGAGAAAACCUUCGAUCGGCUGCCUCCUGCACCCCCGUCGCCCCCCAUUGAGCCCCGCAACCCAGGAAUGUGCCCUGACCAGGAAUCAAAUCGGCGACCUCUUGGUGCUGGGACAAUGCUCAACCAACUGAGCCAUACCAGCAGGGCUUCUUUCUUUUUUUUAAUUUUAUUGAUUUCAGACAGGAAGGGAAAGGGAGAGAGAAAAACAUCAAUGAUGAGAGAGAAUCGUGGAUCAGCUGCCUCCUGCACGCCCCCCACUGGGGAUCAAGCCUGCAAUUUGGGCAUGUGCCCUGGCCGGGAAUUGAACUGUGACCUCCUGCUUCAUAGGUUGACACUCAACCACUGAACCACGAUGGCUGGGCCAGCAGGGCUUAUACUUUCUUGGGGUUUGUUUCACAUUGAUGCACAGAGCUCUAGUAUUCCACUGUGUGAGCACCUCUCCUGAUGGACAUUUAGGUUGUUUCCAGGCUUUUUGGGGAGGCUGGCGGGGGGAGUGGGGAGACACAGCAUGUUUUAUUUGUAAAAUCACCUCCACAUAAUAAUUAUAGACAGAUACCGUAAGAGAAUAUGCCACUUUGCUAAAAAAAGAAUACUUUUUAACAACAUAUGAAGCAUUAGGUACUAUCCCAACCCAUCUAGAAGUUACUCUAGAUGGCCUCUCAGAAGGUGGUAUAGAAAAGUUCCAAAAUCUAUAAUGAUUGGUUUAAGAACUAAAUUUAAGAUGCUAAACAAUGGACUUAUCAAGAUUGCCACACACACACAAAAAACAAACAA